Bos taurus (domestic cattle) is the source of this 1469-nucleotide long non-coding RNA. The record is from Ensembl. NCBI's taxonomy places the organism in Eukaryota, Metazoa, Chordata, Mammalia, Artiodactyla, Bovidae.
CCCCUAGGCAGGCUCCUGCAGUACGUGUCUUCUGCAUCACGGGGCUCCUGCAGCUCUCAUGACUUCUGAAAUGCCAGACUCAUUCAGUGCAUAUAACUUAUACAGGGCCUGCUUCACUAACUCGAAUGGCUUAUGUAGCGCCUGGUUUCAGCAGUGCUCAGCUCAGCACCUCUCAUGAGUGGCUUCCUUGGCAUCUCUUGCAUGUCUGUAAUAGAGUGCUACUGGUCUGACACCACCCGUUGAAUGGCUUCUUCUGGAAAUCGCUCAGGUGACUUUGCAGAGAUAUCACAAUGAGAUAUCACCCCCACACUGGUCAAAAUGGCCAUCAUUAAAACGUCUGCAAAUAAAUUCUGGGGAAGGUGUGGAGAAAAGGGAACCCUCAGAACAGUAUGGAGUCUCCUUAAAAAAUUAAAAAUAGAGUUACCAUAUGAUCCUACUAUUCCACUCCUGGGCAUACAUCCAGAAAAUAUGAAAACUCUACUUCAAAAAGAUAUAUACCUCAGUGUUCACAGCAGCAGCAAUAUUUAUAAUAGCCAAGACAUGGAAGCAACAUACAUAUCCAUCAACAGAUGAAUGGGUGUACAUAUUUAUUUAUUAUUUGUACAUGCCAAUGGGCUUUCCUGGUGGCUCAGAUGGUAAAGAAUCUGCCCGCAAUGCAGAAGACUCAAGUUCUAUCCCUGGGUUGUAAGGAUCACCUGGGGAAGGAAAUGGCAACCCACUCCAGUAUUCUUGCCUGAAGAAUUCCGUGGACAGAGGAGCCUCUCAGACUAUGGUCCGUGGGGUUGCAAAGAGUCAGACAUGACUGAGCAAGUAAUACUUUAACUUUCAACUGUUUUAUCUCUCUUUCCUUUCUUUUUUUUUUGGUUGCAUUGCAAGGCAUGCGGGAUCUUAGUUUCCCACCCAGGGAUAGAAUCCAUGCUGCCAGCAGUGGAAGUGUGGAGUCUUGACCACUGGACUGCCAGGGAAAUCUAUUUCUUCUUCCACUUUUUAUUUUGUAUAUAUCAGUUGAUAGAGUCCAAAUUUACUAUAAUCUUUGUGAGAUCAUUAAAUUUCAAGUUUAAUAGAUUUAAAUUAAAUUCAAAUUAAUUAAACUCUGCUUUUUAAAUUAUUAUUUUUUAUUAUGUUAAGAAUACAAAUAAUAUGUACUUUCUUUAACAAAAUUUUAAUUGUACAAUACAACGUUGUUGAGUAUCAGCACGAUUUUGUACGGAAGAUCUCCAGAACUUAAUUAUCUUACAAAACUGAAACUUUAUAUCUGUUGAACAUCCACCCUCUAUAUCCUUCUCCCAGCCUCUGGAAACCAUCAUUCUACUCCCUGUUUCUAUGAGGUUGACUAUUUUAGAUAGCUCACAUAAGUGGAAUCAUGCAAUAUUUAUUCUGCUGUGGAGCUUAUCUUUGUAUAAUGUCCUCCAGGUUUAUCCAUGUUGUUGCAUAUGACGGGAACACCUUCUUUUUAAAGACUCAAUAAC